CAGUGUAGGCUUUGCCUGCUAUCUCUUACCCAUGUCUUUUAAGUACCUUACGUUUCCUCGGCGGGUCCGCCCGCCGAUUGGACAAUUUAAACCAUUUGCAGUUGCAAUCAGCGUCUGAAAAAACUUAAUAGUUACAACUUUCAACAACGGAUCUCUUGGUUCUGGCAUCGAUGAAGAACGCAGCGAAAUGCGAUAAGUAGUGUGAAUUGCAGAAUUCAGUGAAUCAUCGAAUCUUUGAACGCACAUUGCGCCCCUUGGUAUUCCAUGGGGCAUGCCUGUUCGAGCGUCAUUUGUACCUUCAAGCUCUGCUUGGUGUUGGGUGUUUGUCUCGCCUCUGCGUGUAGACUCGCCUCAAAACAAUUGGCAGCCGGCGUAUUGAUUUCGGAGCGCAGUACAUCUCGCGCUUUGCACUCAUAACGACGACGUCCAAAAGUACAUUUUUACACUCUUGACCUCGGAUCAGGUAGGGAUACCCGCUGAACUUAAGCAUAUCAAUAAGCGGAGGAA
RNAcentral lists this ribosomal RNA (507 nucleotides) under Didymella macrostoma. RNAcentral's name for it is "eukaryotic LSU rRNA". The stretch from base 136 to 289 matches the Rfam family "5.8S ribosomal RNA". The record is from RNAcentral. Lineage: Eukaryota; Fungi; Ascomycota; Dothideomycetes; Pleosporales; Didymellaceae.